GUAGGUGGCAAGCGUUGUCCGGAAUUAUUGGGCGUAAAGCGCGCGCAGGCGGUUCUUUAAGUCUGAUGUGAAAGCCCACGGCUCAACCGUGGAGGGUCAUUGGAAACUGGAGAACUUGAGUACAGAAGAGGAAAGCGGAAUUCCACGUGUAGCGGUGAAAUGCGUAGAGAUGUGGAGGAACACCAGUGGCGAAGGCGGCUUUCUGGUCUGUAACUGACGCUGAGGCGCGAAAGCGUGGGGAGCAAACAGGGAUUAGAUACCCUGGUAGUCCACGCCGUAAACGAUGAGUGCUAAGUGUUAGGGGGUUUCCGCCCCCUUAGUGCUGCAGCUAACGCAUUAAGCACUCCGCCUGGAGAGUACGGCCGCAAGGCUG
RNAcentral lists this ribosomal RNA (373 nucleotides) under uncultured organism. RNAcentral's name for it is "partial 16S ribosomal RNA". It matches the Rfam family "Bacterial small subunit ribosomal RNA", at positions 527 to 896 of the family's 1533-position model. The record is from RNAcentral.